UUACGUUUAAAAUACGACAAUCACUAC
Molecule: small RNA, 27 nt
Filed under: Bombyx mori (domestic silkworm)
Lineage: Eukaryota; Metazoa; Arthropoda; Insecta; Lepidoptera; Bombycidae
Description: ovarian small RNA-36607
Source: RNAcentral